RNAcentral lists this ribosomal RNA (274 nucleotides) under uncultured bacterium. RNAcentral describes it as "partial 16S ribosomal RNA". It matches the Rfam family "Bacterial small subunit ribosomal RNA", at positions 523 to 796 of the family's 1533-position model. The record is from RNAcentral.
AUACGGGGGGAGCAAGCGUUGUCCGGAAUCAUUGGGCGUAAAGGGCACGUAGGCGGUUUCUUAAGUCGAAUGUGAAAUCUCACGGCUCAACCGUGAAACUGCGUUCGAAACUAAGUGACUUGAGUUUGGGAGAGGUGUACGGAAUUCCUGGUGUAGCGGUGGAAUGCGUAGAUAUCAGGAAGAACACCAAUGGCGAAGGCAGUACACUGGCCUGAAACUGACGCUGAGGUGCGAAAGCGUGGGGAGCAAACAGGAUUAGAUACCCCAGUAGUCC